RNAcentral lists this ribosomal RNA (253 nucleotides) under uncultured prokaryote. Its description in RNAcentral is "partial 16S ribosomal RNA". It matches the Rfam family "Bacterial small subunit ribosomal RNA", at positions 524 to 776 of the family's 1533-position model. The record is from RNAcentral.
UACGGAGGGUGCAAGCGUUGUUCGGAAUUAUUGGGCGUAAAGCGGGUGUAGGCGGCUUUGCAAGUCGGGUGUGAAAUCCCUGGGCCCAACCCAGGAACUGCACUCGAUACUGCAUCGCUAGAGUCCCGGAGAGGAUGGCGGAAUUCCAGGUGUAGAGGUGAAAUUCGUAGAUAUCUGGAGGAACACCAGUGGCGAAGGCGGCCAUCUGGACGGUGACUGACGCUCAGACCCGAAAGCGUGGGGAGCAAACAGG